GUUAAUGUAGCUUAAUUUAAAAAGUAAGGCACUGAAAAUGCCUAGAUGAGCUAGCAUGCUCCAUAAACA
Molecule: transfer RNA, 69 nt
Filed under: Lepilemur seali
Lineage: Eukaryota; Metazoa; Chordata; Mammalia; Primates; Lepilemuridae
Also listed under: 2 other names
Description: tRNA-Phe
Rfam family: tRNA
About the family: Transfer RNA (tRNA) molecules are approximately 80 nucleotides in length. Their secondary structure includes four short double-helical elements and three loops (D, anti-codon, and T loops).
Source: RNAcentral